AGCUCCAAUAGCGUAUAUUAAAGUUGUUGCAGUUAAAACGCUCGUAGUCGGAUUUCGGGGCCUGCCUGCUGGUCUGCCGAUGGGUAUGCACUGGCAGGCGCGUCCUUCCUUCCGGAGACUGUCCCUACUCUUAACUGAGCGGGGUCGGGAGACGGAUCGUUUACUUUGAAAAAAUCAGAGUGUUUCAAGCAGGCAGCUCGCUCUUGCAUGGAUUAGCAUGGGAUAAUGAAAUAGGACUUUGGUGCUAUUUUGUUGGUUUCGAACACCGAAGUAAUGAUUAACAGGGACAGUCAGGGGGGCACUCGUAUUCCGCCGAGAGAGGUGAAAUUCUCAGACCAGCGGAAGACGAACCACUGCGAAAGC
RNAcentral lists this ribosomal RNA (363 nucleotides) under uncultured eukaryote. RNAcentral describes it as "SSU rRNA". It matches the Rfam family "Eukaryotic small subunit ribosomal RNA", at positions 587 to 952 of the family's 1831-position model. The record is from RNAcentral.